CCUUUUAACCAUGGCAAUAAUCCCCUACUUUUUUUUAGCUCAAUCUAAUUCUGGCGACACAGAAUAAUUUCUUGAAGUACAUUUUUAUUAUCCAUUACAUUAUGUAUACAUUCUAGACAUCCAGCAUUGCCUUCAGGAUGAACAGUCUCCCAAGGCUGGCUUGUUUUUCUUGACUUCCCUAAUCUACCUCGUCUUGAUGUCCUGAUGGUCUCUGUGCCCAUAGGUUUGCUUCCUUCAUUUCCUCAAGCACAGUGUGCCUUCGGUCCCAGGGUAUUCUCACCGCAGAGCUCAUGCCAGAUUGCCUCUCAGCAACCGGAAUUUACAUGUCACUCAGUGAGGAACAAGGUCAAACUGACCUACCCUCAAACAAUUCUCUCUCUGCACUCUUCUGUUAUGUGUGGGCUGGAUUAUUUGAUCUUGACCCUACACCUAAAGCUCCAUAAAAGUCGGUCCACGUUUGUUUUGUUCAUUGUUCAAUUUGGGGUUUAGCACAAUGUCAACCAUAUACUGGAUCCUACAUCCUCACUUUUUGGAUAAACAAAUAACUAAGUUAAUGAAUAAAGUGCAAAAUCUUAAAAUGGG
This 582-nucleotide long non-coding RNA is filed under the name Rattus norvegicus (Norway rat). RNAcentral's name for it is "long non-coding RNA NONRATT008359". The record is from RNAcentral. Lineage: Eukaryota; Metazoa; Chordata; Mammalia; Rodentia; Muridae.